GAUGAAGAAACGUAGCGAAAUGCGAUAAGUAAUGUGAAUUGCAGAAUUCAGUGAAUCAUCGAAUCUUUGAACGCACAUUGCGCCCGCCAGUAUUCUGGCGGGCAUGCCUGUUCGAGCGUCAUUUCAACCCUCAAGCCCAGCUUGGUGUUGGGGAUCGGCACAGGCGCCCUCGGGCGCCAGCCGUCCCCUAAAUCUAGUGGCGGUCCCGCUGCAGCCUCCUCUGCGUAGUAGUUUUCUCCUCGCAAGGGCAGCUCGGUGGCGACCUCGCCGUAAAACCCCCAACUUCUGAAAGGUUGACCUCGAAUCAGGUAGGAAUACCCGCUGAACUUAAGCAUAUCAAUAAGCGGAGGA
This 351-nucleotide unclassified non-coding RNA is filed under the name soil metagenome. RNAcentral describes it as "partial contains 5.8S ribosomal RNA, internal transcribed spacer 2, and large subunit ribosomal RNA". The stretch from base 1 to 121 matches the Rfam family "5.8S ribosomal RNA", at positions 35 to 154 of the family's 154-position model. The record is from RNAcentral.